GACGAACGCUGGCGGCGUGCCUAAUACAUGCAAGUAGGACGCAGUUGCGAACGGGUGAGUAACGCGUAAUCAACCUGCCCUUCAGAGGGGGACAACAGUUGGAAACGACUGCUAAUACCGCAUACUGAAGGAGGGGAUUGCGUCUGAUUAGCUAGUUGGAGGGGUAACGGCCCACCAAGGCGAUGAUCGGUAGCCGGCCUGAGUGGAUGAUCAGGCACACUGGAACUGAGACACGGUCCAGACUCCUACGGGAGGCAGCAGUGGGGAAUAUUGGACAAUGGGCGAAAGCCUGAUCCAGCCAUGCCGCGUGUGUGAAGAAGGUCUUCGGAUUGUAAAACACUUUAAGUUGGGAGGCGUUACCAACAGAAUAAGCACCGGCUAACUUCGUGCCAGCAGCCGCGGUAAUAC
This 408-nucleotide ribosomal RNA is filed under the name uncultured bacterium. RNAcentral's name for it is "partial 16S ribosomal RNA". It matches the Rfam family "Bacterial small subunit ribosomal RNA", at positions 28 to 526 of the family's 1533-position model. The record is from RNAcentral.